This 26-nucleotide non-coding RNA is filed under the name Rattus norvegicus (Norway rat). The record is from RNAcentral. Lineage: Eukaryota; Metazoa; Chordata; Mammalia; Rodentia; Muridae.
UAGCUUGCAAGUCAACUGAGGGAAUC